Molecule: unclassified non-coding RNA, 632 nt
Filed under: Hevea brasiliensis (rubber tree)
Lineage: Eukaryota; Viridiplantae; Streptophyta; Magnoliopsida; Malpighiales; Euphorbiaceae
Source: RNAcentral
AACACAACAAUAACACAGAUAUCUAUACCAUAGAGUCACAUCACAAAUACAAUUUCUAGUUCAUAUGAAUCCCAAGUGCAAACAUAAAAUAUCAACUAAAACAGGUGGUAAAGCUGUUACAAUACCCAUAAGAAAUGCCAUCAAGUAAGUGUACAAUGGCAAAUCGGUCCAAGCCCCAGAGACAUGCCCAUUCUCACAAACAUAAGCUCGAACAACCGGCUCACCAUCAUCAUGGCACUCGAAAACCCUCCUCAAACAAAAAGCAGAGCGCAGAUCCCAAGUCUCCUUGCACCCACAGAAGGCACACUUGAGAUCGAUCUUACUCCUAUACCCAUCAUUUAUGGUCCUCCAGACCCUAGACCGCUUAAAAUUCUUGAAAAUCCCCCUGAAAAGCAUGUAAUUGCGCUUUUCUUCCAUAUGAACGCAGCCAGGCCAAUCACAAAUGUACAAGCAAUUCCCUCGAAACCGGCUUGCUAAUAGCUCAUUCCCUUGUUCUCGGCUCAAAUUCCAGACUCCAUAGCCAAAUGGGACCUCAAAGGUCAGCAGAUUUUCUUCCUCUUACGAACAGAGAAAUUUCCAGCAGCCUUAACAGUUUUUAUCAUCGCUAACAGCUUCAUUCACAUUGGCAGAUU